This 74-nucleotide transfer RNA is filed under the name Ovis aries (sheep). It matches the Rfam family "tRNA". From Rfam's summary of the family: Transfer RNA (tRNA) molecules are approximately 80 nucleotides in length. Their secondary structure includes four short double-helical elements and three loops (D, anti-codon, and T loops). Further hydrogen bonds mediate the characteristic L-shaped molecular structure. tRNAs have two regions of fundamental functional importance: the anti-codon, which is responsible for specific mRNA codon recognition, and the 3' end, to which the tRNAs corresponding amino acid is attached (by aminoacyl-tRNA synthetases). tRNAs cope with the degeneracy of the genetic code in two manners: having more than one tRNA (with a specific anti-codon) for a particular amino acid; and 'wobble' base-pairing, i.e. permitting non-standard base-pairing at the 3rd anti-codon position. The record is from Rfam by way of RNAcentral. Lineage: Eukaryota; Metazoa; Chordata; Mammalia; Artiodactyla; Bovidae.
GUCUCUGUGGUGUAUCUGGUUAGCGUGUUCGGCUGUUAACCAAAAGGUUGGUGGUUCAAGCCCAUCCAGGGACC